GGCGGCAGGCCUAACACAUGCAAGUCGAACGAGACCUUCGGGUCUAGUGGCGGACGGGUUAGUAACGCGUGGGAACGUGCCUUUCACUACGGAAUAGUCCCGGGAAACUGGGUUUAAUACCGUAUACGCCCUUCGGGGGAAAGAAUUUCGGUGAAAGAUCGGCCCGCGUUAGAUUAGGUAGUUGGUGGGGUAAUGGCCUACCAAGCCUACGAUCUAUAGCUGGUUUUAGAGGAUGAUCAGCAACACUGGGACUGAGACACGGCCCAGACUCCUACGGGAGGCAGCAGUGGGGAAUCUUGGACAAUGGGCGCAAGCCUGAUCCAGCCAUGCCGCGUGAGUGAUGAAGGCCUUAGGGUCGUAAAGCUCUUUCGCCAGGGAUGAUAAUGACAGUACCUGGUAAAGAAACCCCGGCUAACUCCGUGCCAGCAGCCGCGGUAAUACGGAGGGGGUUAGCGUUGUUCGGAAUUACUGGGCGUAAAGCGCACGUAGGCGGAUUGGAAAGUUGGGGGUGAAAUCCCAGGGCUCAACCCUGGAACUGCCUCCAAAACUACCAGUCUAGAGUUCGAGAGAGGUGAGUGGAAUUCCGAGUGUAGAGGUGAAAUUCGUAGAUAUUCGGAGGAACACCAGUGGCGAAGGCGGCUCACUGGCUCGAUACUGACGCUGAGGUGCGAAAGUGUGGGGAGCAAACAGGAUUAGAUACCCUGGUAGUCCACACCGUAAACGAUGAAUGCCAGUCGUCGGAUAGCAUGCUAUUCGGUGACACACCUAACGGAUUAAGCAUCC
Molecule: ribosomal RNA, 783 nt
Filed under: uncultured Roseovarius sp.
Lineage: Bacteria; Pseudomonadati; Pseudomonadota; Alphaproteobacteria; Rhodobacterales; Roseobacteraceae
Description: bacterial SSU rRNA
Rfam family: Bacterial small subunit ribosomal RNA
Source: RNAcentral